RNAcentral lists this unclassified non-coding RNA (194 nucleotides) under uncultured fungus. Its description in RNAcentral is "sequence contains ITS1". The record is from RNAcentral. Lineage: Eukaryota; Fungi.
UUAACUUAUUAUACUUUACUCAGACGACACUAAUAUUCAGGGUUUGGGUCCUCUGGCAGGCGCACGCCAGCGUGAGCCGGCGGCAGGAGACCUGGCGGCCUGCCAAAGCAACAAAGGUAAUUUAGGCACGGGUGGGAACUCUGCCCGUAAGGGCGAAUUCGGUAAUGAUCCCUCCGCAGGUUCACCUACGGAGA